RNAcentral lists this ribosomal RNA (491 nucleotides) under uncultured bacterium. RNAcentral describes it as "partial 16S ribosomal RNA". It matches the Rfam family "Bacterial small subunit ribosomal RNA", at positions 29 to 506 of the family's 1533-position model. The record is from RNAcentral.
AGUGAACGCUGGCGGUAGGCCUAACACAUGCAAGUCGAACGGCAGCACAGUAAGAGCUUGCUCUUACGGGUGGCGAGUGGCGGACGGGUGAGGAAUACAUCGGAAUCUACUUUUUCGUGGGGGAUAACGUAGGGAAACUUACGCUAAUACCGCAUACGACCUACGGGUGAAAGCAGGGGAUCUUCGGACCUUGCGCGAUUGAAUGAGCCGAUGUCGGAUUAGCUAGUUGGCGGGGUAAAGGCCCACCAAGGCGACGAUCCGUAGCUGGUCUGAGAGGAUGAUCAGCCACACGGGAACUGAGACACGGUCCAGACUCCUACGGGAGGCAGCAGUGGGGAAUAUUGGACAAUGGGCGCAAGCCUGAUCCAGCCAUACCGCGUGGGUGAGGAAGGCCUUCGGGUUGUAAAGCCCUUUUGUUGGGAAAGAAAAGCAGCAGGUUAAUACCCCGCUGUUCUGACGGUACCCAAAGAAUAAGCACCGGCUAACUUCGU